This 468-nucleotide ribosomal RNA is filed under the name uncultured bacterium. RNAcentral's name for it is "partial 16S ribosomal RNA". It matches the Rfam family "Bacterial small subunit ribosomal RNA", at positions 28 to 507 of the family's 1533-position model. The record is from RNAcentral.
GACGAACGCUGGCGGCGUGCUUAACACAUGCAAGUCGAACGGAAAGGCCCUGCUUUUGUGGGGUGCUCGAGUGGCGAACGGGUGAGUAACACGUGAGUAACCUGCCCUUGACUUUGGGAUAACUUCAGGAAACUGGGGCUAAUACCGGAUAGGAGCUCCUGCUGCUUGGGGGGGGUGGGAAAGUUUCGGCGGUUGGGGAUGGACUCGCGGCUUAUCAGCUUGUUGGUGGGGUAGUGGCUUACCAAGGCUUUGACGGGUAGCCGGCCUGAGAGGGUGACCGGCCACAUUGGGACUGAGAUACGGCCCAGACUCCUACGGGAGGCAGCAGUGGGGAAUAUUGCACAAUGGGCGGAAGCCUGAUGCAGCAACGCCGCGUGCGGGAUGACGGCCUUCGGGUUGUAAACCGCUUUCGCCUGUGACGAAGCGUGAGUGACGGUAAUGGGUAAAGAAGCACCGGCUAACUACGUG